This 484-nucleotide ribosomal RNA is filed under the name uncultured bacterium. RNAcentral describes it as "partial 16S ribosomal RNA". It matches the Rfam family "Bacterial small subunit ribosomal RNA", at positions 30 to 507 of the family's 1533-position model. The record is from RNAcentral.
AUUGAACGCUGGCGGCAGGCCUAACACAUGCCAGUCGAGCGGAUGAAGGGAGCUUGCUCCUGGAUUCAGCGGCGGACGGGUGAGUAAUGCCUAGGAAUCUGCCUGGUAGUGGGGGAUAACGUCCGGAAACGGGCGCUAAUACCGCAUACGUCCUGAGGGAGAAAGUGGGGGAUCUUCGGACCUCACGCUAUCAGAUGAGCCUAGGUCGGAUUAGCUAGUUGGUGGGGUAAAGGCCUACCAAGGCGACGAUCCGUAACUGGUCUGAGAGGAUGAUCAGUCAAACUGGAAAUGAGACACGGUCCCGACUCCUAAGGGGGGGAGCCGUGGGGAAUAUUGGACAAAGGGGGAAAGCCUGAACCAGCCAUGCCGGGUGUGUGAAGAAGGUCUUCGGAUUGUAAAGCACUUUAAGUUGGGAGGAAGGGCAGUAAGUUAAUACCUUGCUGUUUUGACGUUACCAACAGAAUAAGCACCGGCUAACUUCGUG